GUUUGAUCCUGGCUCAGGAUGAACGCUAGCGGCAGGCUUAACACAUGCAAGUCGAGGGCAGCGGGGCCGUGGUAGCGAAGUACCGGGGUGCCGGCGACCGGCGCACGGGUGCGUAACGCGUAUGCAACCUGCCCUGUACAGGGGGAUAACGGAGGGAAACUUCCACUAAUAUCCCAUGGGUGUCGCGAGGCCGCAUGGUGUUGCGACUAAAGCUUCGGUGGUACAGGAUGGGCAUGCGUGACAUUAGGUAGUUGGCGGGGUAACGGCCCACCAAGCCGACGAUGUCUAGGGGAGCUGAGAGGCUAACCCCCCACACUGGUACUGAGACACGGACCAGACUCCUACGGGAGGCAGCAGUGAGGAAUAUUGGUCAAUGGACGGAAGUCUGAACCAGCCAUGCCGCGUGGAGGAAGAAGGUCCUAUGGGUUGUAAACUCCUUUUGUUCCGGAGUAAUAAGCGGUUUGCGAACCGUGAUGAGAGUACGGGACGAAUAAGCAUCGGCUAACUCCGUGCC
RNAcentral lists this ribosomal RNA (514 nucleotides) under uncultured bacterium. RNAcentral's name for it is "bacterial SSU rRNA". It matches the Rfam family "Bacterial small subunit ribosomal RNA", at positions 11 to 509 of the family's 1533-position model. The record is from RNAcentral.